CUAAGGAAUACGUCUCCUGCGACGGAGACAUACAAGAAGCAUAAGCUUCCAAUCGCUUCGUUCAUUUGUUCAGUUUUGGUGGAAUUCAUUUUGGGGCCAUAGCUCAGCUGGGAGAGCGCCUGCCUUGCAAGCAGGAGGUCAGGAGUUCGAUCCUCCUUGGCUCCACCAUAGAUUUCAUCUUUUUUGUACCUUGAAAACUGAAUCGCGAAAGUAAAGCUUAGAAUCAUCCUUUAAUUUUAAAUAGGAGUUAAAAAGUUUGCUUUUCAGCACCGAGAAGGUGAAGUAGAAGGAAACUUUUUGACCACCUAACUA
This 312-nucleotide transfer RNA is filed under the name Paenibacillus popilliae. Its description in RNAcentral is "16S-23S ribosomal RNA intergenic spacer". The stretch from base 93 to 165 matches the Rfam family "tRNA". Lineage: Bacteria; Bacillati; Bacillota; Bacilli; Caryophanales; Paenibacillaceae. The record is from RNAcentral.